RNAcentral lists this ribosomal RNA (235 nucleotides) under uncultured bacterium. RNAcentral describes it as "partial 16S ribosomal RNA". It matches the Rfam family "Bacterial small subunit ribosomal RNA", at positions 96 to 334 of the family's 1533-position model. The record is from RNAcentral.
UGGCGGACGGGUGAGUAAUGUCUGGGAAACUGCCCGAUGGAGGGGGAUAACUACUGGAAACGGUAGCUAAUACCGCAUAACGUCGCAAGACCAAAGAGGGGGACCUUCGGGCCUCUUGCCAUCGGAUGUGCCCAGAUGGGAUUAGCUAGUAGGUGGGGUAACGGCUCACCUAGGCGACGAUCCCUAGCUGGUCUGAGAGGAUGAUCAGCCACACUGGGACUGAGACACGGCCCAA